AUGACGGCCCUACGGGUUGUAAACUGCUUUUGUCAGGGAAGAAACCCCGCUACGUGUAGCGGGUUGACGGUACUUGAAGAAUAAGGACCGGCUAACUUCGUGC
This 103-nucleotide ribosomal RNA is filed under the name uncultured bacterium. RNAcentral describes it as "partial 16S ribosomal RNA". It matches the Rfam family "Bacterial small subunit ribosomal RNA", at positions 408 to 508 of the family's 1533-position model. The record is from RNAcentral.